Molecule: long non-coding RNA, 377 nt
Organism: Onychostoma macrolepis
Lineage: Eukaryota; Metazoa; Chordata; Actinopteri; Cypriniformes; Cyprinidae
Exons: 4
Source: RefSeq, a predicted model, not a curated record
CACCAGGUUAUGGAUACAGAAGACCAUAAGUAGGUUAUGUUGGGAAGGGCAAGCGAGGCGAGCUCCGUGGAAUUUACUUGGAAGCAAUGCAUCCAGGAUUUUGCAGUGUCCACUGCAUGCAAGCAGGGGCGGACUUAACCAAUAGAUGGCAGACUUGACUGUGCAGAGAAGGGCCACUGCUCUUCGGGGUCUUCCCUUUUAUUUCAAAGAACAUGGAAUCAUAUGCAAGACUAUACUGAGUACAGAGCCAUUGGAGAACCACACAACUGAAAUGAAAAUGGAAAUUCUUGAAAUAGUAAGCAGCAGCAGUUGCACCUCAAGAGCCCAGUCAAGUACGCAGAAUGUCUCUGUUGUUCUGGAAGAGGAGGUGGUACUUG